AGAGUUUGAUCAUGGCUCAGGAUGAACGCUGGCGGUCUGCUUAACACAUGCAAGUCGAACGGAGUAGAAAUACUUAGUGGCGGACGGGUGAGUAACGCGUGAGAAUCUGCCUUCAGGACGGAGACAACAGUUGGAAACGACUGCUAAGCCCCGAUGAACCGAAAGGGAAAAUAUUUAUAGCCUGAAGAUGAGCUCGCGUCCGAUUAGCUAGUUGGCGGAGUAAAAGCCCACCAAGGCGACGAUCGGUAGCUGGUCUGAGAGGACGAUCAGCCACACUGGGACUGAGACACGGCCCAGACUCCUACGGGAGGCAGCAGUGGGGAAUUUUCCGCAAUGGGCGAAAGCCUGACGGAGCAAGACCGCGUGGGGGAAGAAGGCUCUUGGGUUGUAAACCCCUUUUCUCAGGGAAGAACAAAAUGACGGUACCUGAGGAAUAAGCAUCGGCUAACUCCGUGCCAGCAGCCGCGGUAAUACGGAGGAUGCAAGCGUUAUCCGGAUUUAUUGGGCGUAAAGCGUCCGCAGGUGGCAGUUCAAGUCUGCUGUCAAAGGUCGGGGCUCAACCCCGAACAGGCAGUGGAAACUGAACAGCUAGAGUACGGUAGGGGCAGAGGGAAUUCCUGGUGUAGCGGUGAAAUGCGUAGAGAUCAGGAAGAACAUCGGUGGCGAAGGCGCUCUGCUGGACCAUAACUGACACUCAGGGACGAAAGCUAGGGGAGCGAAUGGGAUUAGAUACCCCGGUAGUCC
Molecule: ribosomal RNA, 744 nt
Filed under: uncultured cyanobacterium
Lineage: Bacteria; Bacillati; Cyanobacteriota
Description: bacterial SSU rRNA
Rfam family: Bacterial small subunit ribosomal RNA
Source: RNAcentral